AACACAUUCCGAUAGUGAAAGUUUUGUUGAACUUUCCACGUCAGCAAAGGUAAAUUAGAUUUGGAUAGUUUACGAUAUUUUUUUUUCAACUGAAAAUGCCAGUGCUGUCUAUUUAUUUGGAGUUUCAUUCAAUACUUCAAAGGCCUUGAGGUAGGCCGAUAAGCUCCUUCAACGUCGUAAUUAUGGUCGAGACUUGUGUGCAGCGUGUCGUGCCCCCACAGACAGCAACAUACCACGCGCAGGAAGGGAAAAAUAUCGAAAACGCGCAUUACCUCGGGUUCUUUUGAGCGAGAAGAUAAGGGAAGACCAAUGAUUGGAUGGACUGUAAUAACUGAAGAUAAUGCCAGAGGGGCCUUUAACUGACUACAAGAGGAGGCCUUCAAUCUUUGGCCCCAAAUGUCCGGUGGGGAAGACAACCAUUGUCACAAAAUGUACCAAAGGACAUGACCUUACAAGUGCACUCCAGGGUCUGUGUACGUUUUGUUAUUUUGAUUUCCGAGUGAAAAUGGAGAGUGAAAAACAGAACAUCAACUUAUUUUCUCACAAUGUGAAUUAUUGUGUGGAUUAUAAUUAACUGACAGUGUUGUAAGGGUUGAUACCUUUUUUGUUAGGGCAAAUCAAGUCUGACAUUUUAAUGUAGAAAUGACAAACUUUAGAAGCCUUUUUUAAACCUUGAAUACAUUUAGCAUUUUCUGCUGUGCAGGAAAUUUCCUGCAACAACAGGCUGAUCAAAUUAAGAUCCUACAUCUGUAUACAUUUAUAGAUGUAGGCCAAUUGUCAUAGCAAAAGCCGUGUUCACAAUUGAAGAGAAUAGCAUCCGUCUGCCUUUCAGUCAGCAGGAAAGGAUGUUGAGCUAUAAACCAUAUCAAUAAAAAGGCUUAUUUUAACUUACUGUAUUGGCUACAAUAACAAAAAUCACGAAACAUGCAUGGACCCUCCAGGUAAGCCUCAUGUGUCCCUUCCAUGCCCCACACGCUGAUACAAUGGAGACCACCAAGUUCAACUUCAAGAAUUAAUAGCAAACAAAAAUUCAUGGCAAUAUGCAUUGUGUGAUCAACUAUGGCAAAUGUGUGAGUUACAAAGAAGGUUAUUAUAAAAACUACUGAUACAAACAAAUAGAUUAUCAUUAUAAAACUAUUAAACUGUAUUAGAGUAACAAUGAGGACAGACAUACCAAUACGUGCAAGAAAGUUCACAUUGUUUAUUUUUAUUUAAACUCAGAAUCAGUCAUUCUGAGAAUAAUUUGUUUAACUUAUUUGUAACUUUAAUUGGACAAGUAGGCUAACAUUUUCGUCAUGAAGAAAGUUGUAGUAAGGACCAAGGCUUGCCUGAAUAUCUUGAAGAAAAGCUGUUGGUGUGUGAUCAAAGAGCAAACAGAAAAAAGGAAAACAAAACAUGAACACAAAAUAAUGACAAAAGGUACAUUCAAUUUCAAGGCCUGUGCCUGCUCUUACUAUAAUUUUGAAACACAACAAUGUGAGUCUGUGUAUUGGUUACACAGACUCCCAAUGUUGUGUCCCAAAGCUACUCUCACUACAACUGUGAAGCAGCUGUGGGUUCCCCUGAGUUUAACUGUAAAUGACCCACAGGGCUCCACCAUUGCAGCUAAAGCCAUCAGCACAGCCUUUACAGAAAAGCGUGACUGCAGAAGUAAAGAGGACUCGGAGCACCAGUGAAUUAUGAUUCACACUAAGUCCUCCACUUUAUCCCUUUAUAUUGACAUGUAAAAAAAAAAAAAAAAAAAAAGAGAACACAACU
Long non-coding RNA from Oncorhynchus kisutch (coho salmon), 1758 nucleotides. RefSeq lists it as uncharacterized. The transcript is spliced from 2 exons. NCBI's taxonomy places the organism in Eukaryota, Metazoa, Chordata, Actinopteri, Salmoniformes, Salmonidae. The record is from RefSeq and is a predicted model, not a curated record.